This 77-nucleotide transfer RNA is filed under the name Candidatus Omnitrophota bacterium. Its description in RNAcentral is "tRNA-Glu". It matches the Rfam family "tRNA". Rfam says of the family: Transfer RNA (tRNA) molecules are approximately 80 nucleotides in length. Their secondary structure includes four short double-helical elements and three loops (D, anti-codon, and T loops). The record is from RNAcentral. Lineage: Bacteria; Pseudomonadati; Candidatus Omnitrophota.
GACCCCAUCGUCUAGCCCGGUCAGGACACAAGAUUUUCAUUCUUGUAGCGCGGGUUCAAAUCCCGCUGGGGUCGCCA